This 453-nucleotide small RNA is filed under the name Pongo abelii (Sumatran orangutan). Its description in RNAcentral is "retained intron". The record is from RNAcentral. Lineage: Eukaryota; Metazoa; Chordata; Mammalia; Primates; Hominidae.
CUGCCUAUGUGCGGUCAGCACCCUCCCGAGUGCAGGCACUGCACACAGCCUACCAUGUGUUGCGCCAGAUGGAGAGCGGCAAGGUGGUGCUCCCUGAUGAGGUGUGUUACCGGGUACUGAUGCAGCUCUGCUCACACUAUGGGCAGCCUGUGCUGUCUGUGCGGGUCAUGCUGGAGAUGCGGCAGGCAGGCAUUGUGCCCAACACCAUCACCUAUGGCUACUACAAUAAGGUACCUACUUUGGGGUGAGGGGUGGGAUGGCAGCUGUGCCGGGGUGUGUGAGGGGAGGCUGCUGCUGCUCCCCUCACUCCUUGGAGAUUGGGCUGGUACCGUUUGCCUAGGUCCUGGAACCACUGUCAUCCAAUUGCACUCCUAUGCCUUAGCACCUACAGUUUCUCAGACGAGGCUGCUUUGAUUCCCACUCAUGACAGCCCUGCCUACAACUAAUAGUGUU